Molecule: ribosomal RNA, 877 nt
Filed under: uncultured Bacillus sp.
Lineage: Bacteria; Bacillati; Bacillota; Bacilli; Caryophanales; Bacillaceae
Description: bacterial SSU rRNA
Rfam family: Bacterial small subunit ribosomal RNA
Source: RNAcentral
GCAAGUCGAGCGGACCGACGGGAGCUUGCUCCCUUAGGUCAGCGGCGGACGGGUGAGUAACACGUGGGUAACCUGCCUGUAAGACUGGGAUAACUCCGGGAAACCGGGGCUAAUACCGGAUGCUUGAUUGAACCGCAUGGUUCAAUCAUAAAAGGUGGCUUUUAGCUACCACUUACAGAUGGACCCGCGGCGCAUUAGCUAGUUGGUGAGGUAACGGCUCACCAAGGCGACGAUGCGUAGCCGACCUGAGAGGGUGAUCGGCCACACUGGGACUGAGACACGGCCCAGACUCCUACGGGAGGCAGCAGUAGGGAAUCUUCCGCAAUGGACGAAAGUCUGACGGAGCAACGCCGCGUGAGUGAUGAAGGUUUUCGGAUCGUAAAACUCUGUUGUUAGGGAAGAACAAGUACCGUUCGAAUAGGGCGGUACCUUGACGGUACCUAACCAGAAAGCCACGGCUAACUACGUGCCAGCAGCCGCGGUAAUACGUAGGUGGCAAGCGUUGUCCGGAAUUAUUGGGCGUAAAGCGCGCGCAGGCGGUUUCUUAAGUCUGAUGUGAAAGCCCCCGGCUCAACCGGGGAGGGUCAUUGGAAACUGGGGAACUUGAGUGCAGAAGAGGAGAGUGGAAUUCCACGUGUAGCGGUGAAAUGCGUAGAGAUGUGGAGGAACACCAGUGGCGAAGGCGACUCUCUGGUCUGUAACUGACGCUGAGGCGCGAAAGCGUGGGGAGCGAACAGGAUUAGAUACCCUGGUAGUCCACGCCGUAAACGAUGAGUGCUAAGUGUUAGAGGGUUUCCGCCCUUUAGUGCUGCAGCAAACGCAUUAAGCACUCCGCCUGGGGAGUACGGUCGCAAGACUGAAACUCAAAGGAAUUGAC